Non-coding RNA from Phoenix dactylifera (date palm), 1062 nucleotides. The record is from RefSeq and is a predicted model, not a curated record. Lineage: Eukaryota; Viridiplantae; Streptophyta; Magnoliopsida; Arecales; Arecaceae.
AUAUGACAUAAAUCCGUAAAUAAGUCAACACAUGCUGUCAAGGAGUUUUUAGGGCUUGGUCUUGGAACACCUGUUGCUUACUUUACUCAAUGAAGUGCUCCUCAUUUCAUUCAUUAUGUUGUGACUGUCCAAAACUUGUUCGACACAACUUUUAAAGGAAAUGUAAAAAAUCCACAAUGCUACAAUUUCUAGAAAACUAUGUUUCUAAAUAUUAGAGGGACAAAUGAGGCAAAAUCAUAGAUGCUGUGCACAAUGCCCAUUAAACAAAUAUAUUGUCAAUAAGUGUUCUUGAGUAAAAUGUGUUUAAAAUAUCAAGAUGAAACUUAACUGGAUGCAGGGUAACCAAGAACAGAAUUUAAUUUCAAUUCCAUGCGCUGAAAUCUUGACACAACCCGUAAGGACCUGUUUUAAAAUGGGCCUGGGCCGGCCUGGGAGAGGACAGGGCUGGCCAUUUGGGCCACAAUGUGCGCCCGGCAUGUGAGUCCGGGAGGAAGACUCCCAAUGAGAGUCUUCUUCCUCCCCAAGUCCGGCAAGGAACCCGGGACUCGAAAGCUGUUGGACUCCGAUGAGGACCUAGGGAUUUCAUCUACAAAAGGGCUUCUUCUCCUCCGUUGAACCAUCGCAAAUCCCUCAAAACAAGCCGCCGAUCCCAAAUUUUUUUUAUUCCGAGUUUUCUCCUCUGAUUUUCACCAGAAAGAGUCGUCGGAUCUUCGUCGGAUUGAGUUGACCCGGCUAGGUGGUAGUAAGGACUCGACAGAUCUUGUGAUGGACCCCUGGUGGUCGCUGUUUGAUUUUCUUUUGAUCAUUGAGUUCGAACCUUUAGAGGGAGAGUCAUCUGCGCCAAUUGAUUGGGGUGCUACUCUGCACCUCACUCAUAGAUCGUUGUAUUUAGUCGAUCAUCGGUAGAGAGUCGCAGGCUGCAUAGUUUCUGAUGGGUUGGACAUAGAGUCCGAGUAUUAAAGUUAUGAGUUAGUUUGUAUUCUGAUACCGAGAAAUAUUUGAAGAUUUUGUAACUGAAGCGGUUGGAUUAUUUGAAUAUGAUGGAUUUAUUUAUUUGGAUUA